GUAAGCAGGUUACAUAAAAAGAGUGUGUCCAGAGCUCUGGGGCAAAGUUUACCUCAGAAGUGUUGUUUAUGUAAGUCUAAGCAGAGCUGCUUAUUAGUCGUAGUAUAAUUUCGGUGCCCCGAUGGCUGGUUUAUUUUGGGAAGGUGGCGGCGAGGGUUUGGAAGCUCCAAAAAAGAAAAAUCAACACAUUUGUGUUCGGGAGUGGCAAGGGAACAAGUUGCAAUCUUUUUUUACAGAAAGCAGUGGAAGCAGAUUUUCAUGAAUUCUACAGCUGCAGCCACCUGAGAGACUGGAAAUGGAUUCUUCUCUAGGUGAAAAUGCAGCCUGGCCAACACAGAUUUGAGCGUUUGAAAUCCUGAGAACAAAGUUCAGGGAUAGAAGCUAAGAAAUGGAACUGCUGGAUCAUAGGGAAGCUCUGGGUUUACUUUUUGGAUAAAUCCCCAGACUUUUCCAUAGCGACUGAAUCUGACGACAUUUCCACCAACAUUGAGUGUCACUGUGACUGUCACUGUCCUCCUGUUGUUCAUCGAUUUGCUCGAGCGGGCCCAGUAACAUCUCCAUUGUGACAAUUGUGACUGUGUUUUGGCAUAUCGAAUACGUCACGGGCAGCUUGCCAAGCUUUGCCGUGUGGGCGAAAUACUCUUGGUAGCUUGCUGGGCUCUCUGAGAGGGGCGGAGGAAUCGAACCUGGGUCGGCCAGGUCGGCCACAUGCAAGGCAAAUGCCCUACCCGCUGUGCUAUCGCUCCCUUUCCCCCCACAUCCUUGUCAACAUAACUUGUUGCAAGUGUUUCUGGUAUGUGCCAUUCUCACUGGCAUGAUAUAACAUCACACUGUUUCUUUGACUUACAUUGAACACUUUUUCAUAUGCCUACUAAGACCGUCCUCUUUGGGGAAGUGUCUACUCUUUAGCUCCGCUUGCAAUUUUGAUGUGGUUAUUGGUUUUGUUGUUGUUAUUGAGUUUUGAGAGUGCUUGAUGGAUCUUAGAGAUUAGUCUUUUAUCUGGCAUAUAUGGCGCACAAAUAUUUUCCCCCAUUCAGUAGGGUGUUUUUUAUUUUAGCCAGUUUCUUUUGCCAUGUUAAAACCUUUUUAAGUUUGAUGUAAUUCCAUUAUUUAUUUAUUUAUUUAUUUAUUUCUUGCCAGUGGAGUCAAAUUUCUCCAUGAUCCAUAUCCCUAAGAGUUCUGUCUACGUUUGUAUUAGAUGUAUUUUUAUGGAUUCAGACCUAAUCUGGAGUUCUUUAAUGCAUUUUGAAUUAACUUUUGUCUAUGAUGUGAAAUAAGAAUGCAGUUUUCUUUGUGUUAAUUUAUUUUUAUUUUUAAAUUUAUUUUAAUGUAGGAAAAAAGACACAACUGUUGAUACAGUUCUAGAAUUCAAAUUGAUAACAAAGCUUUGAUAUUAAAAAUCAAUAAGUAUAAAAAUCAAUCUAAGUGAAAAUUGUUAUAUCAGAUUGUAGG
Molecule: long non-coding RNA, 1452 nt
Organism: Sorex fumeus (smoky shrew)
Lineage: Eukaryota; Metazoa; Chordata; Mammalia; Eulipotyphla; Soricidae
Exons: 3
Source: RefSeq, a predicted model, not a curated record